RNAcentral lists this long non-coding RNA (450 nucleotides) under Drosophila guanche. The record is from RNAcentral. Lineage: Eukaryota; Metazoa; Arthropoda; Insecta; Diptera; Drosophilidae.
ACUGGGGGGAGCGCGCACUGCCGCUGCUAAUUGAGCGAGGGGUUGAUGGCAAGGGCAGGGAAGUGUGUGAAACCACUAGUUAAUGCAUGUCACAACAAAUGUUGUCAUCAAUCUGGGCUCCCCAGAGACCAAAAGAAUCCUGUAAAAAAAAAACUAUGGAGCAAACAACUGGCGGUUGUAAAUUCUUUUUGCCUCUCAAAUGAAUGUUCAACAAUUCUCUGGAGCCUACGAGGAUGUGAAUGUACCCAGAGCAGCUACAGGAAAACUGGAAAUUGGUAAAAAAUAAAGUUUUAAUGUUUAAACUUUAUAGAAACUCAUGAACUCAACGUUUGUUUUUAUUUUAUGGCAGAAGAGAUCAUAGAAUUCCCCAUCCAUUACCUCUGUGCUGUGGCUCCACAAACGACGGCUGUUCAAUCAAUCAAUAUUGGAAAUUCCCACACCUCCAGCGGG